GAUGAACGCUGGCGGCGUGCUUAACACAUGCAAGUCGAACGAUGAAGCCCAGCUUGCUGGGUGGAUUAGUGGCGAACGGGUGAGUAACACGUGAGUAACCUGCCCUUAACUCUGGGAUAAGCCUGGGAAACUGGGUCUAAUACCGGAUAGGAGCGCCUACCGCAUGGUGGGUGUUGGAAAGAUUUAUCGGUUUUGGAUGGACUCGCGGCCUAUCAGCUUGUUGGUGAGGUAAUGGCUCACCAAGGCGACGACGGGUAGCCGGCCUGAGAGGGUGACCGGCCACCCUGGGACGGAGACACAGCCCAGACACCUACGGGAGGCAGCAGUGGGGAAUAUUGCACAAUGGGCGCAAGCCUGAUGCAGCGACGCCGCGUGAGGGAUGACGGCCUUCGGGUUGUAAACCUCUUUCAGUAGGGAAGAAGCGAAAGUGACGGUACCUGCAGAAGAAGCACCGGCUAACUACGUGCCAGCAGCCGCCGUAA
Molecule: ribosomal RNA, 482 nt
Filed under: uncultured bacterium
Lineage: Bacteria
Description: partial 16S ribosomal RNA
Rfam family: Bacterial small subunit ribosomal RNA
Source: RNAcentral